Molecule: small nucleolar RNA, 166 nt
Organism: Elaeis guineensis (African oil palm)
Lineage: Eukaryota; Viridiplantae; Streptophyta; Magnoliopsida; Arecales; Arecaceae
Product: small nucleolar RNA snoR143
Source: RefSeq, a predicted model, not a curated record
GUGCAUUUGUUGGAUAACCAAGGCCACACAUGUUCUGGUUGUGGGGUCUGAGCAACAAUGCAUAGAGUAAAAGCCGUUCGAUCGGCGGCGGCCAGACAACUGCAGGGAUGGUUCCACAGAUGACUGAUUAAAAUUUCUGUUUGUCUACUGAUACCAUCUCAUAUGU